Molecule: ribosomal RNA, 253 nt
Filed under: uncultured bacterium
Lineage: Bacteria
Description: partial 16S ribosomal RNA
Rfam family: Bacterial small subunit ribosomal RNA
Source: RNAcentral
UACGAAGGGGGCUAGCGUUGCUCGGAAUUACUGGGCGUAAAGCGCACGUAGGCGGCUCUUUAAGUCAGGGGUGAAAUCCUGGAGCUCAACUCCAGAACUGCCUUUGAUACUGAGGACCUUGAGUUCGGGAGAGGUGAGUGGAACUGCGAGUGUAGAGGUGAAAUUCGUAGAUAUUCGCAAGAACACCAGUGGCGAAGGCAGCUCACUGGCCCGAUACUGACGCUGAGGUGCGAAAGCGUGGGGAGCAAACAGG